This 495-nucleotide long non-coding RNA is filed under the name Phoenix dactylifera (date palm). RNAcentral's name for it is "long non-coding RNA (PDAC_LNC013471)". The record is from RNAcentral. Lineage: Eukaryota; Viridiplantae; Streptophyta; Magnoliopsida; Arecales; Arecaceae.
AUUCUUCAUGAACACUUUAUUGGAUAUAUUCUAAAAGAAAAAUGAUCUUAAUCCAAUCCAUGGAGAUCAAAGGUGAAGUCUAAAGUUUUCUCUUUGAUACACUUGAGUUGAUCCCUAAGCAAAAAGGACAAGUUUGAGUUGACUCUGGCACGUUUCUUCAAGUGGCACAGUCAAUGAGUCGACCCCCACAAAACAUGAGUCGACCUUUGUGUAGUUCAUAGUAAACAGAGAGAUUUUACUGCCUGAGACAAGAUUUGAAGAGUCGACCCUUGUUCCAAAUGAGUCGACCCUUGUUCCAAAUGAGUCGACUCCCGACAUUAAAGAGUCGACACUUAUGUUUGAAGAGUCGACCCCAGUUCAGUCUCAGCGUUGGCCAGAAAAAUUAUUGGAUGAGUCGACCCUUGUGUUUAAAGAAGCGACUCCUGAAGAGAAUGAGUCGAUCCUUAAGGUUAAAGAGUCGACCCUUUAAAGUUGCAACAGCAAGAGCCAUCUCAA